GACGAACGCUGGCGGCGUGCUUAACACAUGCAAGUCGAACGAAGAGCGACGGAAGCUUGCUUCUAUCAAUCUUAGUGGCGAACGGGUGAGUAACGCGUAAUCAACCUGCCCUUCAGAGGGGGACAACAGUUGGAAACGACUGCUAAUACCGCAUACGAUCUAAUCUCGGCAUCGAGGAUGGAUGAAAGGUGGCCUCUACAUGUAAGCUAUCACUGAAGGAGGGGAUUGCGUCUGAUUAGCUAGUUGGAGGGGUAACGGCCCACCAAGGCGAUGAUCAGUAGCCGGUCUGAGAGGAUGAACGGCCACAUUGGGACUGAGACACGGCCCAGACUCCUACGGGAGGCAGCAGUGGGGAAUCUUCCGCAAUGGACGAAAGUCUGACGGAGCAACGCCGCGUGGGUGAUGACGGCCUUCGGGUUGUAAAGCUCUGUUAAUCGGGACGAAAGGCCUUCUUGCGAAUAGUGAGAAGGAUUGACGGUACCGGAAUAGAAAGCCACGGCUAACUACGUG
This 510-nucleotide ribosomal RNA is filed under the name uncultured bacterium. RNAcentral's name for it is "partial 16S ribosomal RNA". It matches the Rfam family "Bacterial small subunit ribosomal RNA", at positions 28 to 507 of the family's 1533-position model. The record is from RNAcentral.